CGAUUGGAGCGGCCGAUGGCAGAUUAGGUAGUUGGUGGGAUAAAAGCUUACCAAGCCGACGAUCUGUAGCUGGUCUGAGAGGACGACCAGCCACACUGGGACUGAGACACGGCCCAGACUCCUACGGGAGGCAGCAGUGGGGAAUUUUGGACAAUGGGCGAAAGCCUGAUCCAGCAAUGCCGCGUGCAGGAUGAAGGCCUUCGGGUUGUAAACUGCUUUUGUACGGAACGAAAAAGCUCUCCUAAUACGAGAGGC
This 255-nucleotide ribosomal RNA is filed under the name uncultured bacterium. RNAcentral describes it as "partial 16S ribosomal RNA". It matches the Rfam family "Bacterial small subunit ribosomal RNA", at positions 218 to 467 of the family's 1533-position model. The record is from RNAcentral.